This 301-nucleotide long non-coding RNA is filed under the name Rattus norvegicus (Norway rat). Its description in RNAcentral is "long non-coding RNA NONRATT000246". Lineage: Eukaryota; Metazoa; Chordata; Mammalia; Rodentia; Muridae. The record is from RNAcentral.
GUGUCCAGUUUUGAAGUAACUAAGUUACAUCAAGCUGUAGAAGAAGUGGGAAGGCAGGUUCUUACCCACAAGUCUGUUGCUGAGGUUUCUGAGGAGAGCACUAGAACUGAGGAUGAUCCCAGGCAUGAUGGCCAGCCGGGUCAGAGCAGCCCUGCUGGCUGUGCAGAGGGGGAGGAUGAACUCCCCGAUCUCAUUGCCCUGUCAUCAUUGAACAAGGAGUUCAGGCCUUUCAGGUAUAGUUUUGUUUGCUUUUACCAUUAAUCUUGAGAUCUUUGAUUCUGUGAAGGGGGCAUAUUUGAAA